GGCAUGCCACAGCUCCUCUAGGCUCUGAACCCCUCUCAGCUGAGCCUGGUAGAUGCCAGCUGACCGGCUGCAGCCCCUGAGUAGAGGUUGGCUGUCCUAGCAAUAGAGUAGGGCGGGGGCACAGCAGACAUGGGACCAUCAUCUGGAUUCCUAGACGUGCAACUGCAAGCUUAGAAGAAAUAAAGGAAAUAUCCCAGGAGCAAAAACAAAACACACACAUGCUCCUCUCAAGAGUCACUGGCAUCCCAGCUGAAAAGUCAGCUCUACACCUAUGGGACCUAUGGGCCUGUUUCUGAGCUCUGUUUUGUCUCUUUGGUCUGAGUGUCUAUCUGAGGCCAAUACCACAGUACCAAAUGCGAUUGCUUUAGAGGAAGUCUUGAAAUCAGAUGAGG
RNAcentral lists this long non-coding RNA (392 nucleotides) under Homo sapiens (human). Its description in RNAcentral is "non-protein coding LINC01880:13". The record is from RNAcentral. Lineage: Eukaryota; Metazoa; Chordata; Mammalia; Primates; Hominidae.